This is a long non-coding RNA of Rhododendron vialii, 1213 nucleotides long. RefSeq lists it as uncharacterized. The transcript is spliced from 6 exons. Lineage: Eukaryota; Viridiplantae; Streptophyta; Magnoliopsida; Ericales; Ericaceae. The record is from RefSeq and is a predicted model, not a curated record.
AAGCGGCAAAAGCCCUUCGAGAUGUUCAAUUUGAACGCUCGACGCCUCCCUCUCUCUCUCAAUGGCGAGGAAAGGAAGGGUCCCAGACGUUCAACAGCCACGCUCGAACCCUAGCCCACACCAUUAUUUCCUUGAUUCCACCACCGACGCCUGCAAGGGGGGGGUUGGGGCGGCGGAUGCUUGGGUUGUAGCGGCGAUGGAGCGAUGUCUUUCCAAUUCCGGCCAGAGGACCCGUCCGACUAUGGUAAGCCCUCGACUCAGUGCUUCGUUGUUUUAUCCCACAAUGCCCCUCUCUCUGCGUUUUAUCCAGACCGCGAGGUCUCUGUCUCUCCUAAAAAAAAAUCGGUUCUCACUGCACGGUACACGUCUCCCUCUCUCGCAAUGGCGAGGAGGCAAAGGGUCGCCGAGGCUCUGGAGGUUGUACAACAACCGUGCUCGAACCCUAGCCGACACCAUUGUCUAUUUGAUGCGUGACGGCGUGAUUUGCCAGGGCGCAUAUGCCUGGGUUGUAGCGGCGACAGAGCAACGUCUUUCCUCUUCCGGCCAGAAGACCCGUCCGACUAUGCGUUUCUGUUUGAGCUCUGCCAUGAAGCUUUUCACAAGUUCAGCAUGGGGCUUUGUAUUGAGAGUUUGAGAAAGGGCGACCAAUGGAUGAACUUUAUACCAAUUUGAUCAUCACGGAUGCAAAACAAAUGAUAGUAGGAGGGUUGUCGAAGACUAUUGUAGACCAUCAUUCACUUGACAAACUGCUGCAAAGUGCCUUCUAUGUUUUUGGCAAUUUGAAGAACGUGGGAACUUUCAUGAGGGGCCGAGAGAGCAGGAUCAUAAUGUUAUCUAUGCUGUUGUUCAUAUUGACAGUGUAUUGGGAGCUGAAGAUGGUGCUAUGGUGAAGUAACUCAGGCUCUCCUCUUCCCAGUCAAGAUGUAUAGAUCCUGAACUCUGCGGCAACUCAAGGAAUGUCGUUAAAUCAGGCAAUCUCUCACCGUGUCGCAGGAUGACGGGUAGCGGAUGGUUGGGGAUCGAUAAGAAGUGCUCAAAGGGUGGAGGAUUAAACGUGCCAAAACUCUGCACUAAAUCUCAUGGCAAGUUCACUACAGGUUGUUCUCAGGUAAGAAAUCAGUUCCUCUGUUGUUCUCCAGUUUUCGAUUGAAUGGGUUGUUGAAAGGUGCUAAAAGCUCUGAUUUUAUGGUAUACAAUACUUAUAUUCUUGAUG